RNAcentral lists this ribosomal RNA (371 nucleotides) under uncultured bacterium. RNAcentral describes it as "bacterial SSU rRNA". It matches the Rfam family "Bacterial small subunit ribosomal RNA", at positions 527 to 898 of the family's 1533-position model. The record is from RNAcentral.
GUAGGGUGCAAGCGUUAAUCGGAAUUACUGGGCGUAAAGCGUGCGCAGGCGGUUGUGCAAGACAGAUGUGAAAUCCCCGGGCUUAACCUGGGAACUGCAUUUGUGACUGCACAGCUGGAGUGCGGCAGAGGGGGAUGGAAUUCCGCGUGUAGCAGUGAAAUGCGUAGAUAUGCGGAGGAACACCGAUGGCGAAGGCAAUCCCCUGGGCCUGCACUGACGCUCAUGCACGAAAGCGUGGGGAGCAAACAGGAUUAGAUACCCUGGUAGUCCACGCCCUAAACGAUGUCAACUGGUUGUUGGGAAGGUUCCUUCUCAGUAACGUAGCUAACGCGUGAAGUUGACCGCCUGGGGAGUACGGCCGCAAGGUUGAA